AAAUGAAUGUUAUGAUAUCUCUAUUUCACCGUGAUCAUCUAUCGAGGUGAACUAUUAUAGUAACAGACAGAAUUGCUCUACGAAUGCCCAUGGUGGUUUUCUCAACUAAGUCACAACUGACCAUGAUCUUAUGUCUAGCUCAUAUGCACAGCUAUCCACUAGCUCACUUAUAGGUUGCUCUUUAAUCGUCUAACAAGUGGCGCUCUAACUACCUAACAGACUUCUCAAAUGGCCUAACAAACUCUGGAAUGACCUUCUCAUCCUCUCUAUAAAUAAAAGGUCAGAGAUCCUCUAUCAGCAAGUUCUGCUCUCUGAAACUAAGGG
This 324-nucleotide long non-coding RNA is filed under the name Elaeis guineensis (African oil palm). Its description in RNAcentral is "long non-coding RNA (EGUI_LNC041226)". The record is from RNAcentral. Lineage: Eukaryota; Viridiplantae; Streptophyta; Magnoliopsida; Arecales; Arecaceae.